RNAcentral lists this unclassified non-coding RNA (161 nucleotides) under uncultured Dothideomycetes. RNAcentral's name for it is "sequence contains ITS2". Lineage: Eukaryota; Fungi; Ascomycota; Dothideomycetes. The record is from RNAcentral.
CACCACUCAAGCCUAGCUUGGUAUUGGAGGUUUGCGGUCUUCUCUCGGCCGCACCUCUCGAAUUCUCCCGGCUGGUAGUUGUACGAAACCCUUGCGUUGUGGAAACAUAUCUCGCUUGUGGGCUCGACCGCUGCCCGGGCCGUAAAAAUCAUUUCACACAA